RNA transcript from Varanus komodoensis (Komodo dragon), 6431 nucleotides. It is a transcript of the gene named telomere maintenance 2, with no coding region annotated. The transcript is spliced from 22 exons. The record is from RefSeq and is a predicted model, not a curated record. Lineage: Eukaryota; Metazoa; Chordata; Lepidosauria; Squamata; Varanidae.
CUGUUCGCGGUUGGUACCGUUGCAGGAUUUCUCUUUCUUAGCUGAUGAGCCGUAAUUCUGUCCGUAGGAGCAGCAGUGAGAUCCCUUCAAGCUGGCUUCAUUUCCAUGAUUUCACCAAGGGAAAUGGAAGCUGACUUGCUUCAAGUUCGUCAUACAGUACAAGAAGCAGUUGACGUUCUAUCUUCUUCCAGAGAUGGUGUCCAGAUCUCUAAGACUUUGUGGGGAAUUAGGAGGUACCUUGGUGGAACUGAAAAUCCACCCUCCAUAAAAGAGAAAGAAGAAUUUGCCCACUAUCAUUUCACAACCUUUCUGCAAUGCCUUAUCAGAAACCUGAAUCCUGAAUGGUGGGAACAAUUCCCGUCUGACAAGGAGAAGGAAUUGUGGGAUAGCUUUUUCUUGGAAGGACCAGCAGACCAAUCUUUUAUAGUUCUAUUGGAUUCCAUAAUUUCUACAGAGCCCAGUUUUCGUCUGGAUAAAGUCAUCGGUGUGCUUGAACAGUUCCUGCAGAAAGCUGGGCUGUCGGCUCUGAUGUGGGAGGUCUGCAGGCAACAGACACGCCUGGGCUCUCCAGUGCUUCAGGAAGCAAUUCUCAGCAAGGUUGUGUCUCUGCCUGACCACCUGGGCAACAAGCUCCAGAGAGAAAACCGGACCAUCUUCUUUCCUCAGAACUACUUUCCAUUGCUGGGGGCAGAAAUCAUCCGGGUGCUGGAAAGGAUCUGCAACUCACUGAGAGGUGGCCUGGAUUGCUCCAUUGCCUUUGUGUCUCAGGUGCUGGGGAAAGCAUGCAUGCACGGAAGGCAGAAGGAAAUCCUGGGUGCGUUGGUGCCCCACCUCAUGGAACGCACCCGGGUGGACUGCAUCUGGCAGAGGGUGUCCUGGAGGCUGGUCCGGAGUGUGCCAGAUCGCUGGCUGGAAGCUGUGGUCUGCGGCCUUGUUCAGGCAGCACCUGGGGCGCCUGUGUUGUCCCGCCUGCUGGGGAAUCUUGUGGUGAAAAGCAAGAAGGCCCAGUUUGUCAUGACCCAGAAAAUGCUGCUGCUUCAGUACAGCUACCCGACGGCGGUGCUGCUGACCCUCCUUGGCUACCUGGCCCUGGACAGCCUGCGGCGUCCCUUGCUGAUCAGAGUACUGAAAGAGCUGCUUGAGGCCUGGGGGAGCAGCAGUGCCGUGAAGCACUCUCCAGCGGAGCAGCAGCUGUACAUCAGCAAGGCCAUCUUGAUCUGCCUCUCUCACCUGAAUGAAGAAGAGAUCAUGGGCAGCAGGCAAGAGCUGCUGUCAAGUAUGAUGGAGGGGAUGAAGUGCCACCUGGACAGCAACUCGCCGCGGAUCCGUCACAUGGGGAUGGUUGUCGCAGAGUGUCUCAGUGCCAGGAUAACCCCUGAGGAGCCUGCCUUGAAAUUUCAGUACAAAGAAGAUGAUGAGAUCAGAGAGCUGAAGUCCUGCAUGAGUCAAAGAGCAGAAGAGUCCUCUGGCAGAGAUUCCCCGAGCACUGGGAGCGGCAGGCCGUCUGCAGCACCAGACGUCCCGAGCCUCGGUGUGGAAUCGGUCUCAGGUGCUUCUGAAGAAGUGAGUCAGGGAACGGAUUCUGAACUUGACAGCGACGACGACCUCGUUCCGUACGACAUGUCGCAGGAUAAAGAACUGAAGAAGACCAAGGCUCCCAGCUACAUCCGAGACUGCCUAGAAAUCUUGACUGGGCCAGAAGAUGCAGACAAAUAUGAAGCCACCAUGGGCGUCCUGGAGGUUCUCAUUCGAAGGAAUCCGGCGCCUGCACGGGAGGUGAGCGUGGAACUGGCGAAAGUGCUGCUGCACCUGGAAGAGAAGAGCUACAUCGAUGGCUUUGUGGGGCUUCGGCAAAGGGCCUUGGUGGCCAUCACGGUCACAGACCCCGUUCCGGUGGCCCAGCAUCUCACCUCCGAGGUCUACUCCCUGAAUUACAGCCUCCGCCAGCGCAUGGACAUCCUGGAUGUGCUGGCCAUGGCAGCGCAAGAACUCUCCCAGCCUGGGCCUGCCAAGUCCAGCCCGCCACCAGCUCCCACGCCCUCCAGCAUCCAAGUCCUGCCUGGCCGUGCUGCUGCUCCAGAUUGGCGGAAGGUUGUAAACGAAAGGAUCAGAAGCAAGACCCGGCGAUUUGCCAAGGGCUGGUCUCAAGCAGAGCUGCCGCACGCCCCCAACCGGUUUGGCCCGGUGGCCGGUCAUUUCUUCUUCCCGCUUCUUCAGAAGUUCGACAGGCCUCUGGCCACCUUUGACCUGCUGGGAGAUGACCACCUGGUCCUGGGCCGGCUGACACACACCCUGGCCGUUCUGAUGUACUUCGCUGUCCACACGCUGGUAGCGGCUAGAAUGGGAAAGGCACUGCUCGAGUUUGUUUGGACUUUGCGCUUCCACACAGACACAUACGUGCGGCAGGGCCUUCUGUCUUGUAUCUCUUCCAUACUCCUCAGUGUUCCUGCUGAGCGCCUUCUGGAGGAUGCGACGGACGAGCUUCUAGAGACCCAGUCCUGGCUGGCAGAUGUCACAGAGAAGGACCCAGAUGGUGACUGCAGAAGUUUGGCGCUGCAGAAUUUGCUGCUGAUGGAAAACCUGAAAAAAAAGCUUGAAGGGGCUCCUUUCUAGCAAAGGCGGGCUCAGCAGCUUCCGUGUUCCGUGGCCACUGGCCCACUUUUGGGUCAGACUCUCUCCCCCCGUUGCCGCUUGGACCAAGGAGGGAGUAGGGAACCGAGUGGCAAGCUGCACAGCAGCUGGGCUUGCUAGCAGAGGGCGGUUGGGCUGCCGUGGCUGUACUGAUGGGAAUGUCAACACACUCUUCCCUAUUGUGCUCUCUCGUGGCUAUUUAUGGCUUUGGCAGGCAUGCGAAAGGUACAGAGCAGAGUCGUGUGGUGUUUGCUAUCCUCAGGAAAAAACACUGGGAAAUGAAGUGGGUUUGCUUCGUGUCCCUAAGCCAUCCUUUUCCUUGGAUACUUUUCUGAGUUUCUUGACUUGGCAAACCUAGAAUGGAUGCUGUAAAUGUACUAGGGCUUUAAUCAGAAAUAUAGUCUACCUCUACUUUGGCCCAGAUUCCCACCCAAACUUUUCCCAAGCAGUGCCAACACUUAACUUGGGAAAUAUAUUCAGUGAGGAUACCUAUGGCAACCUCUGCAAAUGAACCAGCAUCACACGUGAUGACCCCAGGGCAUUCAGGAGCUGGUUCAUUGAUGUAUGAUGUGUGCAAAAUCGUUAAUAAAGGCUAAGAUAUGACAACCAUGAAUCAAAAAUUUGGGUGUAGGCCAGUUCCUAGUAAUAUAAUGGCCAGUUUCAUCCAAACUUAGGUUGAUACAAUGUAGAUUCUGCAACCUAGUAUAUGUCAUGGUGGCAAAUUUGGUGAGUUAACUCACUGUUCACUGGGAAGUGUGGAGAAUGCAUGCUGUAUUGCUAAAGAUGGAUAUUUGUUUCUGGGUUAAUAACCCCUUGUAUGUAGGUUCAGACGUGAUGUGAACAACUUGGGAAGGGUUUAUGUGCUGCUCAUGCACACCAUGCUGCUGUGAUGUAUGAACACACAUUUCCUAACGUUGUCUCUGCUGGACAGUCACCUUGCUUUCAUAGGGCUUCGUGAAGGACAGUAAUAGCCAAAGGCUGGUGGGAUUCCGGAGUGAAUUGAUUAGGUUUGAUAAAAUGGCUUGAAAGUACAGGCAACCCAGUGUAAGAUCCACACAAAGUCAGGUUGCUUGCUUGUAGCUGUCUUGUCCUUGAGUGUUCGUUUGUGCAUUCAUACAUAUGGGCCUCUGCCCCUGUGGGGCCUGAAGUUGAGAAGGUUUCCUAGCUGGACUUCCUUUGGUGGGAAGCCGUUCCCUUCCACCGCAUUUUAGAGGGGUUCUGACCCACUUGCUCAAUUUUGUGGAGACCAACAUUGUGGCCUCGGAACCAAGGGCAGGUUAGUGAAUGGCCAUCCUCGGACCCAAGGACUAUGAGAUCAGUGACUUGCAGUGUCAGAGCCGACUGGCACCACUAUGUGGUUAGAGAGGGAGCUGCGAGGACUGGCCUGCCAAAGGAGCAGUCUUGUCUAGCACAAAUGUCGAGCUGGAAAGGACCGGCAGCUGUCGCUGGGACAGACCGUCUUGCCGCUGUGCAGUGCUCUUGAAGUGACCUCGGCUGUGACGGAGUGAGUGCUGGGCCAUUCAGGGAGUGAGUGUGAUGGUCCCAGCCAGCCAGCGUGCAAGCCAUUGUGGGGACAGGCUUCCCUCUGGCCUCUCGGAGUAGCAAAAGGAAGUCUCUGGGAAUAACGAAAGGAUUCCGUUUGAAGGCAAGUGCCCUGUGCGCAUCCACUGUGUGCAGGGCGGAUUCCAUCAUGUGCGAUGGCACAGUGAAGGCGGCCAGCAGGUGAGGGCCUGGUUAGGGUGGGAUGAUGGCGCGCCUCUGGGAGGCAUGAGGGGCUGGACACAAGGCUGCCUUAUCUCGGAAAAGCGAGGUAGGGUUGGGCAGUGCGGAGCACCCUGAGUUUGCUGGCCUUUGGAAAGCUAUGGAAAGAAGCUGGGCUCUGUUGUGGCCGGUGGACUGAAGGGCUGUUUCGCUAGAGCUUGCAGAAUGCGCACGAUGCUCCAGCUCAGAAUGAAACACUGGACUUUCAGCAGGACGUUUUGUAGUCCUUUGAAGAGCUGAUGGGGCAGAGGAGGUGCGAAGACAGCUGGACCUUGGAUUUGUGAGUGGAGUGAGAUCACUGCCAAGUGGAACUUUGCAGAAGAUGGUGGCAAAGGGAGAGCAGGAAGUCAAGGGUCUGAUGGAGGGAUGCCUGGCGAGCAUUGAAGGAUUCUAGCUGGGUGAAGGCAGAGAAGGCGUUUCCCUUCACUGCAUACGGUCACUUGGGGAUGCUCUCAGUGCUGCAUCCAGGAUCCCCUGUACGUCUGGAUGAAGAGCUGUGCCUAGUCUACUGGACAGUCUUCCAUGCUGUGAAGCAUAGGGUGUUGAUGUAAGGAUGGAGGCGCAUUCGUGAGAGACGACACUCAUGUUUGAUGGAUGGCAGGUUGAAUGCCUUGUUGGACAGCUGGAGAAGGUAUGUGAACCAUGACUGGGGGACCACCACCGAGUAAGGAGGAUGCAGGUGGUCUUGGCCAUAUGGAUCUUCACCAGGAAUCUGAUGGCGAGCAGGAAUGGUGAGAAGAGAUGGAACAUUGAGUCCGUAGUGGUCCUGACCUGGGAACAGCAGCUCUUGAGAUUGUGUUGUUCUCAGUCGUGAAGAAGUCUAGCAAAGUUCUGAGAGGAUCCUGGGAUCCAUCUGCUCUGCCUGCUGAAGGAGUCUACCAUCAGGUUGACCAUCCUAGCUCAGCCAACCAUGGACAGUGGUGGGAGUGAUGCAUUUGUCAGUGCAGCGGUUACAAAUGUGCAUGGUGAGAGACACUAGGUUGAUGGACCUGGCGCCCCCUUGUGUAGGGAGAACACCAUGGCAGUAUUGUCUGUGGCGAUCUGAACAAUAGUGGUCCUGAAGGACCGGUUGGAAAGUGACAAGGAAUGGGGUUGCUUUCUCCUGGACGUGGUUCAUCCCCUCUAGCUGUUUGUAUGUUGGAGCUACCUGUGCUGGUGUCUUCUAAUUCACCUUCAUAGAAUUCAGGAGAGCCUGCAGGAAGGGCAUCAACAUCAGCGCCGCGACCUCCGUUCCGGGGGUGUGGAAGACUGGAUCUGCGGCUUUCUCAAUGUGCUGCUGCGCCUUAAGUCCAAGUGAGGGUGCCAGCCAGAAGCUUUGCUCAGAGAAGCACCCCAUGUCCUCAGAGGGGGCGCCCAUCUCCUGCCACAUGAUGAACACAUCUAGCAAAGAGGUGAGUGGGCUGUCAAAUGGGGCUGAGUCUGGGUUGGUUCUCUGGGACCAAGGAAGCUGAGUUGAGCCUCUGCUGUGAGAUGGGGGCAGGGAGCAGGCAUGGUGGUAAUGGAGGGCAAGCUAGUGUUGCUGAUGCCCUGCUGUGCCCUCUCCCUGGCCUCCUGGGUAGUCGUCGUAUGUUUAGUGAGGCCUGGGAGAGUGGACAGACACCCACACAGCACCCUCUCCUGGGCAGAAGCAGCACAGCAAGGGGCCAUCUGUCGGGAGCAACUUGCUCUUGCAAGGGAUGUAUUUCUGAAAUGAUGCCAGAAAAGGAGAAGGAAGAAGAUGAGAGAGUGUGUUGAGGACGGGAAGAGCGACAACAACUGAAGGGCUUUUAAUGUUUUCUAUUUUUCAACAGGGGUGGAUUUUGGUAAAAAGGUAAAGUAGGAAGAACUAGAAUUGGAGAAGAUAGCUACGAAAGCAGAGAACAAGUCAGGGAAAGGCAAUUACCAACUGAAAGAGGAAAGUCCCAAGACACCCCUAAUGGCGGUCAGAAAAGAGUUGAGGAAGUGGGUACCGGUAUGCCUAGGGAGAAGAAAGGGUUUCGUGGUCAACAGCCCUCAUCAGUCCCACUCCAAAUAAAUCUAGAGUUCGAUGUUCAAGUGGA